GUGCUCGCUUCGGCAGCACUUAUAACUAAAACUGGAAGGGUAUAGAGAAGAUUAGCAUGGCCCCUGCGCAAGGAUGACACGCAAAUUUGUGAAGUGUUCCAUAUUUUU
This is a small nuclear RNA of Cynocephalus volans (Philippine flying lemur), 108 nucleotides long. NCBI's taxonomy places the organism in Eukaryota, Metazoa, Chordata, Mammalia, Dermoptera, Cynocephalidae. The record is from RefSeq and is a predicted model, not a curated record.